UUCUUUUUUUUUUUUUGGGUAUGCUAAAUAAUGAUGUAGAUGUAUUUUGUUUGCAGUUUUAAUUCUACUUCUUUUCACUAAGCGUUUCUGAGCAUUCAAAUAUGAAAAAUGUAUGUCUAUGAUAUGGUAGAUUGUUCUGAACGUCUAAAACAGUGAUGACGUAGCGGAAGACUAAAUCAAAGAGCAACGUUUUUUAUUCUGCAAGGAGAAGCGUCUUCGUCUUCUACUAAAAAAGAUUAAAACAAGCCCGCACGCUAAAAGAAAGAUAAAACUCCGUACAGUAUUUAAGAAAGAAGUCUCUAAUAUGAUAAUAAUCCAAUUGAUUGAGUUUUACAUUAUAAGCUAGCUUAUUUAUAGAAGAAAAAUACUUUUAGAGAAAGUAAACCUAAUCCUACUAGUAAUAGUAAACCUAUUCCUAGUAGCAAUAGUAAACUUAGUCCUAAUAGUAAUGGUGAAUCUAAUCCUCGUAAGGAAAAGAAAAAAAUAAAGCAAAUUGAAGCCUAGUAAGUAAAAGGAAAUAAAAUCUUAAUUGUACAUAAGAAAAUAAAAUAAAAUAAAAUUAUGGAUUGACGAUCAAGUCUUUUUUUUUUGUACUUCCAUUAUUUGAGAACAUGUAAACUUUUAAUCAAAUGGUGCUGCUUCAAUAUAAUUUUUGACGUUUCUUUUUACUUUUUUUCACCGAAAAUAUUAAUAAAUUUCGCCGUACAUCGAGUGAGUACAAUUACAGUCACAGUAACUCAUUUUAGAUAGCUCAUACAUAAUGUAAAGCUGUAGAAUUGAAUUUGGUCAAUUGCUUACAGGCUCGGAUCGAUAAAAUCAAAAGAUUUGAAUAACAAUAGAUCAUUGACUGACUUAGCUUUAAUUGCUAUUGGUAAAUUAAAGUCAGAAGUCAGCCUAAGACUAGGAAUCAGGCUUCCCAUUCAAACAAGUGCCGUGUGAUUCAAGGCACAGAGUAGCUAUAUAACUAAACCUCGAUCACCAUGUUAACACAGCAAAUCUACAACAUUAAUAAGCAAUGGCUGCUGCUGGUAACUCUUUGAGGUCUGCUUUGGUGAUGCUCUUCAUAUUUGCAAUCAUAUUAUCUCCAAUGGCAACGUGUGAGGCAGCUCGAUUCACUCAAAGAGCUUCAGGACCCAUUUGCCCUGCCUGUGUGUGUUGCACACCUCCCCCGCCGGGCUCUUGUUGCAGCAAGUGUUGCGCUACUCCGGGGUCUCCAAGUUAGUCUGAGAAGGGGUCUCCGUAAGCCUUAUUGCAUGAAUAAAAGGAUCGAAUCUCCACACUUCCAUUGAGACAUCCUAAUCGACCUGUUUUAGUAUGUUAGAAUAUGGACUUCAAAUCUUGGAUCCACGUUAUCUCUAAGCAAAUGCAUAAUAUAUCUACUGUACGUCAUUUUUCUUCUUCACAUAUAUUAAUAAAGAUGGCUUAUUAUUAGAAUAUUAAUUAAA
Molecule: long non-coding RNA, 1445 nt
Organism: Alnus glutinosa
Lineage: Eukaryota; Viridiplantae; Streptophyta; Magnoliopsida; Fagales; Betulaceae
Exons: 2
Source: RefSeq, a predicted model, not a curated record